UAACACUGGACUACGAACGAUAGCUAUUC
This 29-nucleotide small RNA is filed under the name Bombyx mori (domestic silkworm). Its description in RNAcentral is "ovarian small RNA-18583". The record is from RNAcentral. Lineage: Eukaryota; Metazoa; Arthropoda; Insecta; Lepidoptera; Bombycidae.